GGGAGCGAGGAGCGGGCAAGCAAUUGGGCAUAUCGAAAAUGGCGGUAUCGGGAGAUCUCAGGGUCUCUCCAACACUGGCCUCUUAUUGCAAACACCCUCUUCGAAGCUCUUUGCAUUCUUCAAAUUCAAAGGUAGAGUUCAUUGGUUUCCCUGGUAGAGGAUCUGGCACUUCCCAAAACACACCCAAGUGGCCUGGCAUCAUCUUGCUUGAUAAUUGUAAAAUGCAUGAUCACACUAUACGUUUUUCUGGUAUCACUAGAGAUUAUCAGCUGUCUCCACCUUCGAUUAGUGAAGAGGCUGAAAGCUUUCUCCUAAAUGCCAUAAACAUGAACUUCUUUGAGCGAUUGAACCUGGCAUGGAAGAUAAUAUUCCCAUCACCAGCACGAAGAAAGAGCUCAAAUGCAAGGAUUGCCAAACAACGGU
RNAcentral lists this unclassified non-coding RNA (423 nucleotides) under Hevea brasiliensis (rubber tree). Lineage: Eukaryota; Viridiplantae; Streptophyta; Magnoliopsida; Malpighiales; Euphorbiaceae. The record is from RNAcentral.